RNAcentral lists this ribosomal RNA (299 nucleotides) under uncultured bacterium. RNAcentral's name for it is "partial 16S ribosomal RNA". It matches the Rfam family "Bacterial small subunit ribosomal RNA", at positions 28 to 329 of the family's 1533-position model. The record is from RNAcentral.
GACGAACGCUGGCGGCGUGCUUAACACAUGCAAGUCGAGCGGUAAGGCCCUUUCGGGGGUACACGAGCGGCGAACGGGUGAGUAACACGUGGGUGACCUGCCCUCAGCUCUGGGAUAAGCCUGGGAAACUGGGUCUAAUACCGGAUAUGACUCCAUGACGCAUGUUGUGGGGUGGAAAGCCUUGUGCGGCUGAGGAUGGGCCCGCGGCCUAUCAGCUUGUUGGUGGGGUGAGGCCUACCAAGGCGACGACGGGUAGCCGGCCUGAGAGGGCGACCGGCCACACUGGGACUGAGACACGG